This 493-nucleotide ribosomal RNA is filed under the name uncultured Glaciecola sp. Its description in RNAcentral is "bacterial SSU rRNA". It matches the Rfam family "Bacterial small subunit ribosomal RNA", at positions 560 to 1050 of the family's 1533-position model. Lineage: Bacteria; Pseudomonadati; Pseudomonadota; Gammaproteobacteria; Alteromonadales; Alteromonadaceae. The record is from RNAcentral.
GUAAAGCGCACGCAGGCGGUCUGUUAAGCUAGAUGUGAAAGCCCCGCGCUCAACGUGGGAGGGUCAUUUAGAACUGGCAGGCUAGAGUCUUGGAGAGGGGAGUGGAAUUCCAGGUGUAGCGGUGAAAUGCGUAGAGAUCUGGAGGAACAUCAAUGGCGAAGGCAACUCCCUGGCCAAAGACUGACGCUCAUGUGCGAAAGUGUGGGUAGCGAACAGGAUUAGAUACCCUGGUAGUCCACACCGUAAACGCUGUCUACUAGCUGUUUGUGGAUUUAAUCCGUGAGUAGCGAAGCUAACGCGAUAAGUAGACCGCCUGGGGAGUACGGCCGCAAGGUUAAAACUCAAAUGAAUUGACGGGGGCCCGCACAAGCGGUGGAGCAUGUUCUUUAAUUCGAUGCAACGCGAAGAACCUUACCCACCUUUGACAUGUAUGGAAUCCUUUAGAGAUGAAGGAGUGCUCGAAAGAGAGCCAUAACACAGGUGCUGCAUGGCU